This 1522-nucleotide ribosomal RNA is filed under the name Salmonella enterica. RNAcentral's name for it is "bacterial SSU rRNA". It matches the Rfam family "Bacterial small subunit ribosomal RNA". The record is from RNAcentral. Lineage: Bacteria; Pseudomonadati; Pseudomonadota; Gammaproteobacteria; Enterobacterales; Enterobacteriaceae. RNAcentral also lists the same sequence under 1 other name.
AGAGUUUGAUCAUGGCUCAGAUUGAACGCUGGCGGCAGGCCUAACACAUGCAAGUCGAACGGUAACAGGAAGCAGCUUGCUGCUUUGCUGACGAGUGGCGGACGGGUGAGUAAUGUCUGGGAAACUGCCUGAUGGAGGGGGAUAACUACUGGAAACGGUGGCUAAUACCGCAUAACGUCGCAAGACCAAAGAGGGGGACCUUCGGGCCUCUUGCCAUCAGAUGUGCCCAGAUGGGAUUAGCUUGUUGGUGAGGUAACGGCUCACCAAGGCGACGAUCCCUAGCUGGUCUGAGAGGAUGACCAGCCACACUGGAACUGAGACACGGUCCAGACUCCUACGGGAGGCAGCAGUGGGGAAUAUUGCACAAUGGGCGCAAGCCUGAUGCAGCCAUGCCGCGUGUAUGAAGAAGGCCUUCGGGUUGUAAAGUACUUUCAGCGGGGAGGAAGGUGUUGUGGUUAAUAACCGCAGCAAUUGACGUUACCCGCAGAAGAAGCACCGGCUAACUCCGUGCCAGCAGCCGCGGUAAUACGGAGGGUGCAAGCGUUAAUCGGAAUUACUGGGCGUAAAGCGCACGCAGGCGGUCUGUCAAGUCGGAUGUGAAAUCCCCGGGCUCAACCUGGGAACUGCAUUCGAAACUGGCAGGCUUGAGUCUUGUAGAGGGGGGUAGAAUUCCAGGUGUAGCGGUGAAAUGCGUAGAGAUCUGGAGGAAUACCGGUGGCGAAGGCGGCCCCCUGGACAAAGACUGACGCUCAGGUGCGAAAGCGUGGGGAGCAAACAGGAUUAGAUACCCUGGUAGUCCACGCCGUAAACGAUGUCUACUUGGAGGUUGUGCCCUUGAGGCGUGGCUUCCGGAGCUAACGCGUUAAGUAGACCGCCUGGGGAGUACGGCCGCAAGGUUAAAACUCAAAUGAAUUGACGGGGGCCCGCACAAGCGGUGGAGCAUGUGGUUUAAUUCGAUGCAACGCGAAGAACCUUACCUGGUCUUGACAUCCACAGAACUUUCCAGAGAUGGAUUGGUGCCUUCGGGAACUGUGAGACAGGUGCUGCAUGGCUGUCGUCAGCUCGUGUUGUGAAAUGUUGGGUUAAGUCCCGCAACGAGCGCAACCCUUAUCCUUUGUUGCCAGCGGUCAGGCCGGGAACUCAAAGGAGACUGCCAGUGAUAAACUGGAGGAAGGUGGGGAUGACGUCAAGUCAUCAUGGCCCUUACGACCAGGGCUACACACGUGCUACAAUGGCGCAUACAAAGAGAAGCGACCUCGCGAGAGCAAGCGGACCUCAUAAAGUGCGUCGUAGUCCGGAUUGGAGUCUGCAACUCGACUCCAUGAAGUCGGAAUCGCUAGUAAUCGUGGAUCAGAAUGCCACGGUGAAUACGUUCCCGGGCCUUGUACACACCGCCCGUCACACCAUGGGAGUGGGUUGCAAAAGAAGUAGGUAGCUUAACCUUCGGGAGGGCGCUUACCACUUUGUGAUUCAUGACUGGGGUGAAGUCGUAACAAGGUAACCGUAGGGGAACCUGCGGUUG